UGGGGAAUAUUGCACAAUGGGGGAAACCCUGAUGCAGCGACGCCGCGUGAGCGAUGAAGUAUUUCGGUAUGUAAAGCUCUAUCAGCAGGGAAGAUAAUGACGGUACCUGACUAAGAAGCUCCGGCUAAAUACGUGCCAGCAGCCGCGGUAAUACGUAUGGAGCAAGCGUUAUCCGGAUUUACUGGGUGUAAAGGGAGCGUAGGCGGUCCUGCAAGUCUGAUGUGAAAACCCGGGGCUCAACCCCGGGACUGCAUUGGAAACUGUAGGACUAGAGUGUCGGAGGGGUAAGUGGAAUUCCUAGUGUAGCGGUGAAAUGCGUAGAUAUUAGGAGAAACACCAGUGGCGAAGGCGGCUUACUGGACGACCACUGACGCUGAGGCUCGAAAGCGUGGGGAGCAAACAGG
This 404-nucleotide ribosomal RNA is filed under the name Acidobacteriota bacterium. RNAcentral describes it as "Acidobacteria bacterium partial 16S ribosomal RNA". It matches the Rfam family "Bacterial small subunit ribosomal RNA", at positions 355 to 776 of the family's 1533-position model. Lineage: Bacteria; Pseudomonadati; Acidobacteriota. The record is from RNAcentral.